CCUCGGGGCGCAGCAGUGGGGAAUAUUGGGCAAUGGGCGCAAGCCUGACCCAGCAACGCCGCGUGAAGGAAGAAGGCUUUCGGGUUGUAAACUUCUUUUAUGAGGGACGAAACAAAUGACGGUACCUCAUGAAUAAGCCACGGCUAACUACGUGCCAGCAGCCGCGGUAAUACGUAGGUGGCAAGCGUUAUCCGGAUUUACUGGGUGUAAAGGGCGUGUAGGCGGGACUGCAAGUCAGAUGUGAAAAUUAUGGGCUCAACCCAUAACCUGCAUUUGAAACUGUAGUUCUCGAGUGAUGGAGAGGC
RNAcentral lists this ribosomal RNA (305 nucleotides) under uncultured bacterium. RNAcentral's name for it is "bacterial SSU rRNA". It matches the Rfam family "Bacterial small subunit ribosomal RNA", at positions 339 to 658 of the family's 1533-position model. The record is from RNAcentral.